Molecule: ribosomal RNA, 888 nt
Filed under: Triticum aestivum (bread wheat)
Lineage: Eukaryota; Viridiplantae; Streptophyta; Magnoliopsida; Poales; Poaceae
Description: partial small subunit ribosomal RNA
Source: RNAcentral
AUGCAAGUUGACACCCGUUGUCCAAUCUGUUUUCGGUUGGAUGAGGAUGGUGGCUAUUGUUUCAUUAAGUGUAAGAGGGUAAAGGAUGUGUGGAGGAAAGCUCAGUUGGAGCAUGUCAGAUUACAAAUUCUAGAUUGUACUGAUGCACUGAGCUGUAUGGAGAAAAUAUUGAACCUCAAUGAAGAAGAAAAAAAUAAAUCAUGCCUGCUUCUCUGGCGUUGGUGGCAUGAGAGGAAUAGAGCAAAUGCAGGAAAUGAAAUUAAACCUUCUGAUGAAAUAUGUCAUUCUAUUAAUUAUCUUUUUAUGCAAUUUUCUAAGGUAAGGCAAGAAGGGAGAAUUCAAGAGCAACAACAAAAAGAAAGAUGGUCCAGACCUCCACCGAAGAUCUUGAAAAUCAACACUGACGGCGCCUACCUGAAGGAAUCAAAUUCUGGAGGUUGGGGCUUUGUCAUCAGGAACGAUUGUGGUAUGGUAAUAGCAGCUGGUGCAGGAAAUUUGGGGCAAGUUUCGGAUGCGCUUCAUUCGGAGGCAAUGGCAAUGUUGCAUGCCAUAAACGCAGCUAUUCAGAUGGGUUGCCACUGUGUCAUAAUGGAGACUGACUCUGUGCAACUUCAGUCAGCAGUGAACAAUGAAGACUAUGAUCUCUCUACAUUAGGAGCUAUUUUCAAAGAUAUUAAAUUUAAGCUGAGAGUAAGCUUCAAUCAUGUAACUGUUGUGUCUUGUCCUAGAACUUGUAAUGUAGUGGCACACUGUUUAGCAGCGUAUGGUACUAAACUAGGAGCUGGCAUAAGUGAGAUUUGGCUUGAUGAGUGUCCAGACUUUGUAAAUGACGCUGUUGCUGGCGACUUGGUCCAGCAUUGGUUCUUAAUGGAAUGUUUCGUGUUCUCU